Homo sapiens (human) is the source of this 5356-nucleotide long non-coding RNA. The record is from Ensembl. Lineage: Eukaryota; Metazoa; Chordata; Mammalia; Primates; Hominidae.
GGGGAAAGGCUCUUUGACCUGGAGGAGACGCUGGGCAGACACCGCCGGAUCCUGCAGGCUCUGCGGGGUCUCUCCAAGCAGCUGGCCCAGGCUGAGAGACAAUGGAAGAAGCAGCUGGGGCCCCCAGGCCAAGCCAGGCCUGACGGAGGCUGGGCCCUGGAUGCUUCCUGCCAGAUUCCAUCCACCCCAGGGAGGGGUGGCCACCUCUCCAUGUCACUCAAUAAGGACUCUGCCAAGGUCGGUGCCCUGCUCCAUGGACAGUGGACUCUGCUCCAGGCCCUGCAAGAGAUGAGGGAUGCAGCUGUCCGCAUGGCUGCAGAAGCCCAGGUCUCCUACCUGCCUGUGGGCAUUGAGCAUCAUUUCUUAGAGCUGGACCACAUCCUGGGCCUCCUGCAGGAGGAGCUUCGGGGCCCGGCGGUGAGGGGAAAGUAGUGGGCAGCAUGGGGUCCCCAACCUUGACGUCUGGGCUCAGCCACCCUUCUUCCAGCACUUCAGCAGCCCCAAGCCCUCCUGCCUUUGCCCUCCCCUCCCAGGACUGCUGGCAAGCACAUCUGUGCCUGCGUCAGUGUCUGUGUGUCCGUGCAUACGUGCCACCACACAUCUCAUCUUUUCUCUGUCCUCUCUCCUCUCUGAAGAGUCCCACAGACUCAGCAGCAGCAGGGCCCUGGACACCCCUCGAUCCAAUAUCCAAUGACCAGAGGGGAAACAGGGUGGGCUGUGUCCAAGAUCACUGAGUCCAGUGGUAGUCAGCGCUUCCCCAUGCCCUGUCCCAUCCUCGUUCCCUCGCCCUCACCCUGCUCACCCUGUCUUUGGCUCUUUACUUCUCUCUUCUCUUCUCUUGAACCCUGGGCCCCUUGAUGAUCCCAGGCCCCAGGCCUUCCCAGCUGUUCCCACAGAUGCAGCCAUGGGAGCUGGGGUGGGGGAGGCAGCUUUGUACACUGCCCCCUCUCCAAGUUCCCUGGAUGAGAGCCAGGACGCCCCAAGCCUGGGGAAAGGAAACGGAGCAUGCACAUGGCCUAGAUUCCAGGUCCCCCACUCCUUCUGGGUAAGAAGCUAAGCUAGGACCUUAGACUUUCCCCUUUCAGAAGGCAGCAGCCAAGGCCCCCCGCCCACCUGGCCAGCCCCCAAGGGCCUCCUCGUGCCUGCAGCCUGGCAUCUUCCUGUUCUACCUCCUCAUUCAGACUGUAGGCUUCUUCGGCUACGUGCACUUCAGGUGGGCCACCCCGUGAGCAGGAUUUCCCACAGCACUGGCAUCUCUUGGUUCUCAGCUAUAACCAUUGGAUUUAGGAGAGGGGACACUUCAGCUCAGAGGGGACCUGCCGAGUCCCCAAAUCACAAAGAGCACAGUGCGGGAUAGGGCCCAUUCUCUCACCAAGCACUACUGACCACCUGCUCGGCCCCCAGCCCCAUCUGGGUCCUGCUCUCACGGAGCUCACUCACACAGGUCUAACUGACCCUGUGUCGUCAAUGCCAUGAUGUCAGGAAGCUGAGGGGCUACGAGAGUGCAGGAGAACACACUUGACCCCCCUUGGUUAGGGAAUCAACCUGGAAGGGACAUUUGAUAUGGUCAUUAAGGUGACUAGGAGUUUUCCACCCUGACAAGAUAGGUAAAGGCAUAGAGGCAGAGGGAACAGCAUGAGAAAAGGCAGGGAGGCAUGAGAAAAACAUAAUAUUUUAGAGAAAAAGUGGCAAGUUCAGUAAUGUUGGAGCAAAGGGCAGGACGAGUUUGUGAAAUUGGGCAAAGAGAUCUGAAAAAGUGAGAGGAGGUCACUAGUUUUGCUUGGUGUGUGUUUGCUGAAUGAACGUGCACCGUUUAGAGAUGUGGGGUGUGCUAAAGGCCUCAGCAAUGAGACUGACAAUCUUUGUUGGUGGAAUUUCAAGACAAGAAGAGUCCGUGUGGGCUGGGAUGGUCCUGGAGGAGGAGUAAAAUGAGCUAAGCUUUAAAAAGCACAAGGUAGAAAUGCUCACAGGCUUCAGCACAUGCACAGGAGUGCAGUGGUGGCAAUCAGCCUGGAGCCACUAGGACAGACCUUACAUGCCCAGGGGGAAAGCGUGGACCAUAUGCAGCGGGCCAAAGGAGCCACAGAAAGUCCAAGAACAGCGGAGGUUGUGGUGCAGUGAGUGUAGCAAGGCAAGCAUGAGAGUCCUGGUUUUUCAAAAGCCCAUAAAGGAGAGACGCAAGUAACCUGUAACCUUCUCUCUGGCAGCAGGCAGGAGCUGAACAAGAGCCUUCAGGAGUGUCUGUCCACAGGCAGCCUUCCUCUGGGUCCUGCACCACACACCCCCAGGGCCCUGGGGAUUCUGAGGAGGCAGCCUCUCCCUGCCAGCAUGCCUGCCUGACCCACCUCAGAGCCUGCUUUGCAUCACUGGGAAGCAGGCAGUGUCUUGGGUGGGGGCUUGGUCAGUAUCCUCUCCGUCUGGGUGCCCAGCUCCCACGCACACCUGAGCUUUCGGCAUGCUCCCACCUCGUUAAAGGUGAUUUCCCUCUCCCCAUGCUGUGAUAUGCUGGUCUUCUUUCCAGCCUCACCCUAAUCUCUGUGAAGGCUUCCACCCCUUCUGAGUACCUGGCUGGGAGUGCGCUCCAAGCAGGCAAGGAGGCCAAGGCCUGGCUUAACCUCCAAAAGACCGGAUACCCCACGGGCUUUGAACCCUCGACUAUGGAGGGAAAGAGAGCCAUGACUGUAUAUAAUUCUGUCCUCAAACUCACCCAUAACAGAGAGCAGUGUCUCCCAGUGUCCCUCCUGGCCCAGCUCAGCCAGCAUCACUGAGCAGCUCUCUCCCUCCCCACUCCUAGCUGCUCCAGGGGCAGCAGGGGAGGCGCGUGACAGAGCAACCCUGAGAGGCCAACUCGUGGAACCAUAACUGGGAUUCCCGCUCGCGCCCUCAGGUCUCCCUCCCUUUUCCAGCGUCAAGCUCUCUGGGCAGCUGCUGGGUUCAGUGACUUGGGUGGGUGGGGAGAAUGGGGGGCACCCAAGGCUGGGUUUUUACCCCUUGCUGCUACCUGGAUCUCCCAGCUGAAAUCCUAGUUAUUAGUGGCCCAGGAGAGGAGAAAGUUGGAAGAGGCUAUGGAACAGGGUUCCGGGAGUGUAUGAGCUCAACCCCUCUCCCGGGAGAGCGACCCCACCACCGCAGGCCCUAAUCCUCUGUCAGCAGUGCCCAGCGGAGCUCGGCGUUGAAGGAGGCACGUGGGGGAGGCGGGAGUGGGGAGCGGGCACGUGGUCCAGCCUUCUCAGCCCCGUGCUGCCCCCCGCCCCCAGUGAGGAGGGGUUUGGGGAGGUGGGGGCGGGCCCGGGCGGGGGCGGGCGGCGGGCGGUGCCAAGCGUGGGGCGCGGGCCCGCGGCGGGAGCUGUCCGCGAAACCUAGUGCUGAAGUAGGCGCGGACGUGCCCGGUGCCUGGCGCGUGGUAGCAGGCGCCCGGUGCCCCGGCCGGCGAAGACCAUGGCGUUCAUGGUGAAGACCAUGGUGGGCGGCCAGCUGAAGAACCUCACUGGGAGCCUGGGAGGCGGCGAGGAUAAGGGAGAUGGGGACAAGUCGGCAGCCGAAGCUCAGGGCAUGAGCCGGGAGGAGUACGAGGAGUAUCAGAAGCAACUCGUGGAAGAGAAGAUGGAGCGGGAUGCACAGUUCACACAGAGGAAGGCAGAGCGGGCCACACUGCGGAGCCACUUCCGAGACAAAUACCGGCUACCCAAGAACGAGACAGAUGAGAGCCAGAUCCAGAUGGCAGGUGGAGACGUGGAGCUGCCCCGGGAGCUGGCCAAGAUGAUCGAGGAGGACACAGAGGAGGAGGAGGAGAAGGCCUCAGUCCUUGGGCAGCUGGCCAGCCUUCCUGGCUUGAACCUGGGCUCACUCAAGGACAAGGCCCAGGCCACACUGGGGGAUCUCAAGCAAUCAGCUGAGAAGUGUCACGUCAUGUGACCACUUCCCCGGGGUUACCCACUGGGCUGGGCCCCCAUGAGGGCUAAGAGUGUGUCAACUUCCAGGGACCCAUACUCCAUUUGGGGCUUUGUUUCCCUUGCCCCAUCCUAGUUCCAAGACCUUUCCCAUCCAUGCCCCAAGCCUAUCUUCUGGUUUCUUCCUCUCCGCUGGGAGUAAAGUCCCCAUCUUCACUCUACCCUUCAGGACCCUCCCCACCAGCUCAGCCUGUGGAGGCCUCCCAAGAUUGUAGGAAUAGGCCCAUCCCUCUCUGGCCAUGGCCCCAAGUUCCUGCACACAGGAGCACCCACAGAGAGACACACACAGGACACAAAACCCCUGGCACGUUCAGAGACAGAAGCCACAGAUACAUCCCGGCACAGACAGACACACACGAGGCCAGCUCCCUUGCGUGUCCAGCCCCUCCAGACACCACCACUCAGAAACUCUGAGAGAGAGCAUGGGCAGACACCCUCAGCAGACAGGAGGCCUGAGUUCCAGUCUCCACCUUUAUUGUUCUUGAAAGCCCCUGCUCUCUCUGAGCCUUAUUUCAUCAUCUGUAAAAUGGGAAUGUCCUGAAUGACUUCUAAGGCUCUUUCUGGCUUGAACUGUCAGAGCCAAGCCCACAUCCCUCCUUGGGCAGGGCAGCAGCUGCUGCCACAGCCUCCAGCGGCUGCCACUGUGGGCUCUGGGAGCCGGAGCGAUGCUGUGUGAGAGGCAGAGUGCCAAGGAUGAAGCUGGCACUGAACAGUAAGCGGCUCCAGGCCUCCUCUGGGCCCAGGGCCCAGCCAAUUUCUGUUCUGUUCCUGUAGAACGCUCUCUGGAUUCCAUAGCUGGAAUCUCCUCUCUUAGCUCAGUGAAAAAUAAAAAUCCCAAAUGGUGUGCCUACCUUCCCACUUCUUACUGGCUUCCAGGAGUCUUGGAGUUCAUAGCCCCCCGAGCCUGCCUUAAAGGGGUGUCCUCCACCCCCCACCUACAGCUUCACAGGAGGGGAGAAGGCAUCCAGUGCUAGGAGUAGAAGUGUCUCCAGCUCUGUUCUCUUGGGGCCCUGGGUGAAGGUGGGGUCUGGGGCUUAUGAAAUAGGUCUGGGCUUUGAGGAGGAUGGAGCAGCCUCAUUAUGUGGGGAAGAUGGGGCCUCUGGGGCGUCACUGAGACCACAGGUGGGGCCGGGGCUGGACCGCAGCUGUCUUGGGUGCCUGUGCCUACACCCCUCCUCACCCUAGAGACGGAAGAUGUGCAAAAAGAAAGAAGGAAGGGCAACUGCAUUCCAGCCCCACACUGUGAUGACUUUGAGCCUGUCCUUUCCCUCCUUGAGCCUGUCUUGCUUGUCCCCUGUAAAAUGAACAGUCCCCCUCUCCCCCAAAUAGUAAUAAUACAUGUUUCAAAGGGUGACCAUUUAUAAAGCAUAUGACAAACCAUAUCAAUAAAUGUAACUCAUUCUUUU